GUGGAGAAUCUUCCGCAAUGGACGAAAGUCUGACGGAGCGACGCCGCGUGAGUGGAGAAGGCCUUCGGGUCGUAAAGCUCUGUCAUCAGGGACGAACGGCCGGUGGAGUGGAAAGCCACCGGAUUGACGGUACCUGAGAAGGAAGCCACGGCUAACUACGUGCCAGCAGCCGCGGUAAUACGUAGGUGGCAAGCGUUGUCCGGAAUUAUUGGGCGUAAAGCGCGCGCAGGUGGGAUCUUAAGUCCAUUUUUAAAGUUCGGAGCUCAACUCCGUGAUGGGAUGGAAACUGGGAUUCUUGAGUACCGGAGAGGAAAGCGGAAUUCCCCGUGUAGCGGUGAAAUGCGUAGAUAUGGGGAGGAACACCAGUGGCGAAGGCGGCUUUCUGGACGGUGUCUGACACUGAGGCGCGAAAGCCAGGGGAGCGAACGGGAUUAGAUACCCUGGUAGUCC
This 450-nucleotide ribosomal RNA is filed under the name uncultured bacterium. RNAcentral describes it as "partial 16S ribosomal RNA". It matches the Rfam family "Bacterial small subunit ribosomal RNA", at positions 354 to 796 of the family's 1533-position model. The record is from RNAcentral.